Molecule: ribosomal RNA, 439 nt
Filed under: uncultured bacterium
Lineage: Bacteria
Description: bacterial SSU rRNA
Rfam family: Bacterial small subunit ribosomal RNA
Source: RNAcentral
CCUACGGGAGGCUGCCGUGGGGAAUAUUGCACAAUGGGCGCAAGCCUGAUGCAGCGACGCCGCGUGAGCGAAGAAGGCCUUCGGGUCGUAAAGCUCUGUCCUAUGGGACGAUAAUGACGGUACCAUAGGAGGAAGCCCCGGCUAACUACGUGCCAGCAGCCGCGGUAAUACGUAGGGGGCGAGCGUUGUCCGGAAUGACUGGGCGUAAAGGGUACGUAGGCGGCUAAGUAAGUCAGGUGUGAAAGGCUAGGGCUUAACCCUAGUAAGCACUUGAAACUGCUUAGCUUGAGUCGAGGAGAGGAAAGUGGAAUUCCUGGUGUAGCGGUGAAAUGCGUAGAUAUCAGGAGGAAUACCAGUGGCGAAGGCGACUUUCUGGCCUUGGACUGACGCUGAGGUACGAAAGCGUGGGGAGCAAACAGGAUUAGAUACCCGUGUAGUC